GCCUCCUGCCAAACUCAAAGUAUAGGAGGUCUUGCCUGCCCAGUGACAAGUUAAACGGCCGCGGUAUUUUGACCGUGCAAAGGUAGCGCAAUCACUUGUCUUUUAAAUGAAGACCCGUAUGAAUGGUGAAACGAGGGCUUAACUGUCUCCCCUCUCAAGUCAAUGAAAUUGAUCUGCCCGUGCAGAAGCGGACAUGUAAAUACAAGACGAGAAGACCCUUUGGAGCUUAAGAUAUAAGACCAACUAUGUUAAUAAAACCAAAAAUCAAAUUAAACUAAAUAGCACCUGGUCCUCAUCUUCGGUUGGGGCGACCACGGAAGAAAAUAAAGCUUCCAUGCGGACUGGGGCUUUAAGCCCUAAAACCAAGAAAGACAUUUCUAAGUAACAGAACAUCUGACCACUAAGAUCCGGCAACCAAAGCCGAUCAACGGACCAAGUUACCCUAGGGAUAACAGCGCAAUCCCCUUUAAGAGUCCAUAUCGACAAGGGGGUUUACGACCUCGAUGUUGGAUCAGGACAUCCUAAUGGUGCAGCCGCUAUUAAGGGUUCGUUUGUUCAACGAUUAAAGUCCU
This 572-nucleotide ribosomal RNA is filed under the name Trachelyopterus lucenai. RNAcentral's name for it is "partial 16S ribosomal RNA". It matches the Rfam family "Bacterial large subunit ribosomal RNA", at positions 1818 to 2597 of the family's 2925-position model. Lineage: Eukaryota; Metazoa; Chordata; Actinopteri; Siluriformes; Auchenipteridae. The record is from RNAcentral.